UAAUAUUGAAUGGUUUAUUAGUAAAGCGAAUUUUUGAAUACCUAUCGCCAUAUAAGGUUUUUAAUUUUAUAGUCGGAAGGCCUUCCGAAUUUCGUGAUAAAUGAAAUUUAAA
This 112-nucleotide microRNA precursor is filed under the name Schistosoma mansoni. RNAcentral's name for it is "microRNA sma-mir-8452 precursor". The record is from miRBase by way of RNAcentral. Lineage: Eukaryota; Metazoa; Platyhelminthes; Trematoda; Strigeidida; Schistosomatidae.